UACGAGGGGUGCAAGCGUUGCUCGGAAUUAUUGGGCGUAAAGGGUAGGUAGGUGGUCUCAUUUGUCUGGGGUGAAAGCCUUGAGCUUAACUCAAGAAGUGCCCCAGAAACGGUGAGACUGGAGUCUUGGAGAGGGUCGUGGAAUUCCCGGUGUAGCGGUGAAAUGCGUAGAGAUCGGGAGGAACACCGGUGGCGAAGGCGGCAUCCUGGACCGAUUCUGACGCUGAGGAGCGAAAGCCAGGGGAGCAAACGGG
RNAcentral lists this ribosomal RNA (253 nucleotides) under uncultured bacterium. Its description in RNAcentral is "partial 16S ribosomal RNA". It matches the Rfam family "Bacterial small subunit ribosomal RNA", at positions 524 to 776 of the family's 1533-position model. The record is from RNAcentral.